This 209-nucleotide ribosomal RNA is filed under the name Noctiluca scintillans. RNAcentral's name for it is "partial Eukaryotic large subunit ribosomal RNA". It matches the Rfam family "Eukaryotic large subunit ribosomal RNA", at positions 1309 to 1556 of the family's 3401-position model. The record is from RNAcentral. Lineage: Eukaryota; Dinophyceae; Noctilucales; Noctilucaceae.
GCCGCGAAAAUGGAUGGUGCUUGAGUGUAUGUCACCGAUGUUCAAUCCUUGUUGUUGCACGAUGCAGUUUGCUACGAUGCAUUUGGCGUAAGCCUGAGUGAUCUUGGUGGUGGCAGCAAAUGUCCAAAUCAGAGCUUGGGAGACCGAAGUGGAGAAUGGGUUCAUGCGGCAAUCAGUUGGACAUGAAUCAGUCGAUCAUUGAAGCCAGG